Molecule: long non-coding RNA, 2059 nt
Organism: Triticum aestivum (bread wheat)
Lineage: Eukaryota; Viridiplantae; Streptophyta; Magnoliopsida; Poales; Poaceae
Exons: 3
Source: RefSeq, a predicted model, not a curated record
UACUACUAUUAAACAAGAAAACAUUAUCUUUCUUAAGUGCACCCCGUCUAACGUACAUACAACAAACCAAGAUAAUUAGAGCCUCAUGAUCGGUCCAUUCAUUUAGAUCUAACCGUUAAAAUAACAACUAACCUUUAGCGAUAGUACGUCAAUCAAUUUAAGGUAGCGGACGAAAACUCUGCCAUCGAGCAGACGAAAGAUUCGUUCAACAACCGCUUGAUCCCAUCCUCAAUUAGCGCUAAAUCCCACCACAAAAUUAGCGCUAACCCAAAAUUUAGCCCGUCGCCCUCGCCGCGCCCCCGUUCCUGGGUCAGAGGUGGUUGUCUCGCCGUGCCCCCGUUCCUGGGUCAGAGGUGGUUGUCUCGCCGCCCCAUGCCACGGCAAUGGCAAUGGCGGCGUGCACGACGAUUUCCUCCACCAGAUGCUCGGCAGCCUGCCGCCCUCGGCUUGACACGACCAUGCCGCUGGGACGAAGCCUGAGGACCGCGCCCAGGCUGAUGGGAUAAAGCAGCAGCUGUUUAGAGGGCCGUACGACCUGUGGGUGAUGCUGGCGUCGCGGCUUUGGCAGCACCAGAUUAGCGGCAUCCCGGCUGCGGCGUCACAGCGGCGAAGUAGAUGGUGCUACAGAACCUCGCCGAUCUGAGAUAGGGCCACUACAACAACAUGCUUCUCAAGGGCAUGGCUGCUCGCCAUCCAUCGGGGGCGACGACGGCGGCGAUGGCGUCCUGCUGCUCCCACUCACCCUUGGCAAGGGCGAAUCGGGCGGUGACGUGCGUGCAGCAGCAAACGGUGCCCAUGCCGAACCAGACCUUUGGCGGAGUAGGAGGUGCUCUGGCUGCAGGGCGCAACCACAACAAGCCGGGGGAGGAGGAGGUGCUCCGGCUGCAGGGCGCAACCACCACAAGCCGGGCGAGGAGGAGGUGGCGCGCCGGCGCCGCCGAGGCAGCGGGUGCGCGUGCGGCCAGGCCAGACCACCAACCCACACAGCACCUCGGAGGGAGUGAACUAUCUAUCGAGUGACACUCAUAUAGUUUUACUGUCAAUUUGGCCGGCAAUUAACCUUAUAGAAUAUAAAACCAAGGGGAGCAGUUAGUUUCUUAGCACUAAUCUGAUUAGUUUCCCGUGUUUUCGUCCUUUUAGUUGCCCAUACUGUUCUUGUUCUUCUCUACUCAUGUGCAGUUCUAUUUAGCUCCAUGGACCUCUCUUCCUCUAUAAACUGAAUGCUGGAUGAUUUAUUCUAAUUAAUUAACCAUCUGGUCCUUGUCGCAGUUUUGCCGGGAGAUGAUAGCUGAGAGGAUAAAGGCCCUGCAAGAACUGGUGCCCAAGGUGAGCAAAGAUAUCAGCGGGAGAACUGAGGCACAGAUUAUGCUUGUAGCUAAGCUAGCUUAAUUGGACUUCGAGAUCCAAGUGGUCGAAGACGAUAGCUAUAUCACUAAGGGUUUUGGUUGGGAAGCUGCUGCUUUAUUAUUGCAUCAGUCAAUGCUGACCAAGAAUUAAAAUAAGGGCUUCAACAGAUGCCGAUGCAACAAAAAGGAUGGAGCCAUCAGGUUGAGAUUUCAUGUGUGAGCAAUUGUUGUACAAUGAGAUUUAAUUGCCGGGAGUAAAUUGUUUUGUACUAUCAAAUGUAGACUUCUAUUAAUAAUAUGUGUCGCUAAAGCUCCUUGAACUUUGCAGAUGUCAAUGAAAAUGCUUAGUGCAAACAAUGGACUUCUCAAUUUUAACGUGUGCCAUUUAAAAGAUGUUGUAGCUUUCGGACAUAUCAAACCUUGGAGCUGGAACAUUGGCUUAUCCCAAGAAGAAGCCAGUUUGAUUGUAUAGUACUUGUUGUUUCUCAAGAUUUCAAAGGCACAAUGUAGAGAUAAUUAUUUUCAAGAAAGUUGUUUUCGGGAAACAACUAACUCCAUAUGUUUGACCCAUAUCAUUGUUCAACAUAAUUGUGUGCAUAUUGUCUCUAUGUCAUUUCAUGAUGUAUUUUUUUCCUUUUAAUAUGGAAUCGUUAGAGAUGAUGGGUUGCCAUUUCUUUGCAAGUUCUAACUAAGGAAAAUGGUGUAUUUGUCAA